This 399-nucleotide ribosomal RNA is filed under the name uncultured bacterium. RNAcentral describes it as "bacterial SSU rRNA". It matches the Rfam family "Bacterial small subunit ribosomal RNA", at positions 30 to 424 of the family's 1533-position model. The record is from RNAcentral.
AUUGAACGCUGGCGGCAUGCCUUACACAUGCAAGUCGAACGGCAGCAUGGAAGAGCUUGCUCUUCUGAUGGCGAGUGGCGAACGGGUGAGUAAAGCAUCGGAACGUACCGUGUAGUGGGGGAUAACGUAGCGAAAGUUACGCUAAUACCGCAUACGCACUGAGGUGGAAAGCAGGGGAUCGCAAGACCUUGCGCUAUACGAGCGGCCGAUGUCAGAUUAGCUAGUUGGUAGGGUAAAGGCCUACCAAGGCGACGAUCUGUAGCGGGUCUGAGAGGAUGAUCCGCCACACUGGGACUGAGACACGGCCCAGACUCCUACGGGAGGCAGCAGUGGGGAAUUUUGGACAAUGGGCGAAAGCCUGAUCCAGCCAUGCCGCGUGAGUGAAGAAGGCCUCGGGUU